RNAcentral lists this ribosomal RNA (1599 nucleotides) under Lobulovarium longiovatum. Its description in RNAcentral is "eukaryotic LSU rRNA". It matches the Rfam family "Eukaryotic large subunit ribosomal RNA", at positions 23 to 981 of the family's 3401-position model. The record is from RNAcentral. Lineage: Eukaryota; Metazoa; Platyhelminthes; Cestoda; Caryophyllidea; Lytocestidae.
GUCGACCCGCUGAAUUUAAGCAUAUCACUAAGCGGAGGAAAAGAAACUAACCAGGAUUCCCUUAGUAACGGCGAGUGAAGAGGGAAGAGCCCAGCACCGAAGCCUGCGGUAGAUUUACUGCUAGGCAAUGUGGUGUUUAGGCCGGCACCGGGGAUUCGCCACUCCACUCGAAGUCCAGCAUUGAGUAUGGUUCCCAGGAAUUGGCCCAUAGAGGGUGAAAGGCCCGUACGAGUGGAUGUCAGAUAUGUAAGGCGUUUCACCAGGCCGACCUUAGAGUCGGGUUGUUUGGGAAUGCAGCCCAAAGUGGGUGGUAAACUCCAUCCAAGGCUAAAUACUAGCACGAGUCCGAUAGCGAACAAGUACCGUGAGGGAAAGUUGAAAAGCACUUUGAAGAGAGAGUAAAAAGUACGUGAAACCGCAUAGAGGUAAACGGGUGGCGUCAAGCUGCAUUCCUGGAGAAUUCAGUCGGUCAGGAUGUUGAAAUGCGCCCAGCGCAUCUAUCAGUCGGUGUAGAAUCUGACUAGUCCGCUGUAGAUUGGCGGGUCCAGCUGUAACAGGCUGAGAUUUGCGUACCAGCAGGUAGCUGGAGCAKGCUAGUCGAUUGUUGGACUGCCUGGCCGAUGCACUUUCUCUGUGGUGAACGCCACGACCGGUGUUACUGCCAGUCUGCUGUGGCCAGCUUCGCUAUGCAUUCUCGUGAAAACGGUGGUGCGUGGUGAUCACAGACAAUUUCAGGGCACGGUGCUUGUGUGCAUUCUAGCAUGCGGGCAUGUUAUCGGGUCCUGGUUGUAAGCGGGUCAGCCUAUCGACUAGUCUGUAGUCAUGGUCGAUGGGUGACCUGGUGGGCUAUGGUGGUAUGAAUAACUGUGCAAGACACUGGGGCUUUCGGUCGCUUGACAGUGAUCGCUUGCGAUUGCUGUCGCCGGUUGCAUGCGCACUACAGUUUAGCGUGUACUAUGCAAUGCUGGUACAGAGACGGUGCUGCUGCUGCCUGCCAUUUGCUGGGUCUGAUUGGCGUGUUGCCUGCUAAAAUGGCAGGUUCGACAAUGGCCUAGCAAUGGAUGGUGUGUGUGGGCAGUGCUGUUCUUGUGCUUCCGGCUGUUUCGGCCAAAUAGUCUGUGGCGUAGUGGUAGACGAGCUACCCGACCCGUCUUGAAACACGGACCAAGGAGUUUAACAUGCGCGCGAGUCAUUGGGUGCUACGAAACCUAAAGGCGCAGUGAAAGUGAAGCCUCGACAUUGUUCUCGGGGUGUGGUGAGAUCCUGCUGUUUCUCGCAUGCACAUGGCCAGCACUGGGCUAUUUAAUCGAGCAGUGGGCGCAUCACCGGCCCGUCUCAUGAUGUGGUUGUCUGUUGGUGGCAGUUGUCCUCGUGGUGACUGCCUUUCCGGCGGGCACGUCAUCGGGGCGGAGCAUGAGCGCGCAUGUUGAGACCCGAAAGAUGGUGAACUAUGCUUGCGUAGGUUGAAGCCAGAGGAAACUCUGGUGGAGGACCGCAGCGAUUCUGACGUGCAAAUCGAUCGUCAAACGUGAGUAUAGGGGCGAAAGACUAAUCGAACCAUCUAGUAGCUGGUUCCCUCCKAAGUUUCCCUCAGGAUAG